This 520-nucleotide ribosomal RNA is filed under the name uncultured Glomus. RNAcentral describes it as "SSU rRNA". It matches the Rfam family "Eukaryotic small subunit ribosomal RNA", at positions 569 to 1092 of the family's 1831-position model. The record is from RNAcentral. Lineage: Eukaryota; Fungi; Glomeromycota; Glomeromycetes; Glomerales; Glomeraceae.
AGCAGCCGCGGUAAUUCCAGCUCCAAUAGCGUAUAUUAAAGUUGUUGCAGUUAAAAAGCUCGUAGUUGAAUUUCGGGAUCAAUUUAUUGGUCGUGCUAUUGUACGUACUGGUAUUAUUGAUUCCUACCUUCUGACGAACCAUGAUGUCAUUAAUUUGGUGUCAUGGGGAAUCAGGACUGUUACUUUGAAAAAAUUAGAGUGUUUAAAGCAGGCUCACGCUUGAAUACAUUAACAUGGAAUAACGAAAUAGGACGUUUGAUUCUAUUUUGUUGGUUUCUAGGAUCGACGUAAUGAUUAAUAGGGAUAGUUGGGGGCAUUAGUAUUCAAUUGUCAGAGGUGAAAUUCUUGGAUUUAUUGAAGACUAACUACUGCGAAAGCAUUUGCCAAGGAUGUUUUCAUUAAUCAAGAACGAAAAUUAGGGGAUCGAAGACGAUCAGAUACCGUCGUAGUCUUAACCAUAAACUAUGCCGACUAGGGAUCGGAUGAUGUUAAUUUUUAAUGACUCAUUCGGCGCCUUAAC